GGUUGUAGCUCAGUGGUAGAGUGCUCGCCUAGCAUGCACGUGGCACUGGGUUCCAUCCUUAGCACCA
This 67-nucleotide transfer RNA is filed under the name Marmota monax (woodchuck). RNAcentral describes it as "tRNA.Ala". The record is from RNAcentral. Lineage: Eukaryota; Metazoa; Chordata; Mammalia; Rodentia; Sciuridae.